UACGUAGGGGGCAAGCGUUGUCCGGAAUUAUUGGGCGUAAAGAGCUCGUAGGCGGUGUGUCGCGUCGGCCGUGAAAACCUGCAGCUUAACUGUGGGCGUGCGGUCGAUACGGGCAUCACUGGAGUUCGGCAGGGGAGACUGGAAUUCCUGGUGUAGCGGUGAAAUGCGCAGAUAUCAGGAGGAACACCGGUGGCGAAGGCGGGUCUCUGGGCCGAUACUGACGCUGAGGAGCGAAAGCGUGGGGAGCGAACAGG
Molecule: ribosomal RNA, 254 nt
Filed under: uncultured bacterium
Lineage: Bacteria
Description: partial 16S ribosomal RNA
Rfam family: Bacterial small subunit ribosomal RNA
Source: RNAcentral